Parelaphostrongylus tenuis is the source of this 78-nucleotide non-coding RNA. NCBI's taxonomy places the organism in Eukaryota, Metazoa, Nematoda, Chromadorea, Rhabditida, Metastrongylidae. The record is from the annotation of a GenBank genome assembly.
UUUCGGAGAGCAGGUAGUGUAAUGGUUAGCACGCGCCUCCGGAAUGGGUGAGACAUGGAUUCGAAUCCCAUCCGAAAU